UGUUUCUACCGUUCUCAUUCCCAUUCCCGGUUCUUUCUCCACCCCGAUGCCCCUCCCCCUCCCCCGUGUGAUCCCCUCUCCAGAUCGAUGUCUGCCCCGGCCGUAACCCCCGCGGCUCACCGCACGAAACCGCCGCGAGAUCUUGGAGCUCAGCCUCUGACGAUGGCUACGACUACCUCGCCAACCUCCGCGAGCUCUGUCCCCCUCCCUCUCCUCCACCGGCGGCGGGGGAUCCUUGGCCAUGUUCCUCCCGAGGCGCCGGUCCACGCGCUUCGGCCUCCGCGUGGUCAUCAAGCCUUUCUGAUGGCUCGGAACAGAGGUCAGCUAUGCGAUGUGGCGUGGCGAGGUUACCGCGGGCGCCGCGGAGGUGGAGGGGGAAGGGGAGGACGAGGGCACGGGCAAGAGAGCGCAUCGCUGUGGACGGUCUCGUGAGUGAGUGCUGCUGCCUGCCCCUCUCUCUCUGCCUGCGUUCUCCUGGUGCUGCUCUCCCUCUCCUCCCCUGCUUCGACCUCCCGCCUUUCCCCACCGUUUCUUGGAUUUCUAGGAUCCAGACAACCGCCCUUGUGAGCCUGCCUUCCUGCCUACUACCUGCGUACGUACAGGAGGGACCUUGGGUGAUCCGGGUGCUUGGUUUCUUGGUUCUACGGCUUUCGCUGCUGUUGGAUUUGCCGAGCCGGAGCCGACGGAGAUGACCGUCGACGAGCUGAAGCUGCAGGCAAGGGCCAGCGGCGGCCACGACCUAAGGACCAGUUCCCCGUCGGCAUGCGCGUGCUCGCCGUCGACGACGACCCGACCUGCCUCAAGGUCCUCGAGAACCUCUUGUUCCGCUGCCAGUACCAUGUGACAACAAUGGGCCAGGCAGCCACUGCCCUGAGCUGCUGAGGGAGAAGAAGGACCAGUUUGACCCUGUGAUCAGCAACGUCCACAUGCCGGACAUGGACGGCUUCAAGCUCCUCGAGCUUGUGGGCCUCGAGAUGGACCUUCCGGGGAUUAACAGCUGAAAACCUCGCCCGAUUUGUAAAGAAGUUUUCUUGUUCAAUGCGGCAUUGAAUUUGGGAGGAAUGACAAGUCUCAUGAAAACUUCUGUAUGCCCUACACGUGACCACUAAAAGAAAGAGUUAGACAGGACAAAAGGCUGCAGCGGCAGAAGAAGAGCUUUUACAUACCCUUACAAUGCUGAUUUUGAUGGAGAUGAAAUGAAUUUGCAUGUCCCUCGGACGGAGGAAGCUCGCACUGAAGCGCUUAAUUCUCAUAGGGGUUCAAAAUAAUUUAUGUACUCCUAAGAAUGUGAUGGGGGAUACUUCAAUGCAAUAAUGAGCUUCCCACAAAAUUACCCAAACAGCCCACCAUCAGUCAGAUUUACCUCUGAAAUGUGGCAUCCAAAUGGUCAACUUUUUAUUAGUGAAAAUAGUAUUUAUUUACUCCAUCUACAGUUAUGUUUUCUGACAUCAUGCAUAAUAUUUGAGGAAACGCCAGUCUAACCUGAUGGGCGGGUUUGUAUCUCUAUUCUUCAUCCACCCAGUGAAGAUCCAAACGGUUAUGAGCUCGCAAGUGAGCGAUGGACACCUGUGCACACAGUAUGGCUUCGUAUACUUUGUUUACAUAUCUUUUCCCCAUUGUAAUGUUACUCAUCUCCCUUUUAUGUGUAUACUUUUUAGAGAGAAAAUUACCUUGUAGUCUCAUUGUUUCAGUUUAUGGUCCAAUUUACAAUGGCUUCACUGUAAAUGGGAAAACAACUCGGUAGGAAUGCUUUUUUGAAUUAUAAAUUAUUUCUAUUUCAUACGAUGCUUAUAGGUAUGUGAUGAGUCCUCCAAUCUGAGAAGUAGAGCAUGGUAAAGCACUCCAAGCUGCUCUUUCAUCGGGAAAUUUAUAGGUGACACUUGUGUCAUACAUUGAACUAUGGAGUCAAACAAAUUACAUAUUAUCCUUCAACAUUUUUCACCAGUGGGAACUGUAGUUAUUGCGUAGAAUAGAUGGUAUAUUAAUCGUUGAGAGCCAAUGUUUACAUUAACUGUUAUGCAGAAGACAAUUUAUGUUUUAUUUUAUAUCUAACUGUACUUUGUUGCAGCUUGUAGGUACUGAUCACAGCACAUUCAACUCCACACAGAUUGUCCAUGUUUCUUUCAGUCACCAUGAUUUAUCACUAGGUCAUUGUGUUUGUGGCCAACGAGUAUUGUUCUAACAGUUAUGUUCCCAUAGCUAGCUAGAUUCAUUGUUGUGUUUUGUUCAGGGUACUUUCACCACUUCUGGUAUGGUUCUGUCUGUAAUGUGCCAGGGAUUAUUAUAUUGUUUUUGGUUUGGAUUUGGAAUGGUUUGGGGUCCACAACGAUGAUGCGUCAGAGCUGUUCCAAGGAUUGGAUGAUUUCCAUUCCCCUGCUGCCAAUUCGACUAGGCUCGCCGUCUCCGCUCUGCCCAACUGGCACCAAGCAGCCAAUGGAACUUGAGCAGCCAAUGGAUGAUUUCCAUUCCCCUGCUGCCAAUUCUCCGAACUGCUUUGACCCUUCAACUCAAUCCGCAUGUACCCAGUAAAUGUUCAAUCUGAAUUUGGAUCAUUGCUAGCAGGAUUCUUUGCUUGCUCUUCUACUUCUGAAAAUUCGCAAAAUGGAUAGAUAAUUCCAGUUAAUUUUAAUCCAUUACAGCCUAUUGUGGCAGCAAACAGCGACUGGGUGCGGAAGCCGGAAGGGAGAGGCGCUUGGUUGACCCAGAACGGACGACAAGACACCGCCGGGGGUUCGCUGCAACCGCACGCGUGGUGGCCGGUGUGGGAAGGAGCCCACUGCUCAAGCAGCGACGACUUCCGUAACUUCUCAGGCCAAGUUGUAGGGAGGGAGGGCAGCAAAGAAAGCAAGCAAGAAAGAAGCCGAUUCCACUGGUGGUUAAGGUUUUGGAUUAAAGGAGAGAGGUGCAGAGAAAAAAAGGCAAUCUUACUCUUAAUCUCUGUGUCCACAUCACUUCCGAUCAUGCCGUGAUCGACAGAAGUACGGGUGCCAUGUAUAAGUGCCCCCUCCAACUCACCAAAGUAAUAAGGAGCAGCUGCUGCAGGUUGCAACUCCCUGGGCCAAGCAGUAGCCCAGCAAGUUCAGCACCAAUGGCAGCCAUAUGAAAUAUAAGGCAAAGCAGAUAAAAAGCUUAAUUUUUUUCAAUAAGGUAAAGGCAAUGACAGAAAAGUGAGGAGGGUCAGAGGUGUACAGAUAAGGAUGAGGGCUGAAAAGAGGAGCAGGAAGGGCAUGAUGAAAUCAGUGUUUGCUAUUUAGCCUCCUUCACAACUAAGAUCAUCCUACAUAAUAGAUUUAGACAACAAAAACUUAUGGAGUUUGCUGAAAUGCCCUUUCAGGCAUGCUCCAUCUGUGCUACAAGGGUCAGAAUGGACUUGAUAGGACAUUUGACUAUACAACAUGGAAGUUAUUUCAAGAUAUCCUUUUUUAACUAUGCUGUCGUUGCUGAUCAUUUGCAUUUUUACAUUUUUCACAUUAUACUAUAGUUGAAGAUACAUUCCUGAGGACGAAUGGGUGCAGUUAUGGGCUUCCUGCUUGCUGCCAGCAGUCUUUUGGUGCUUUUAUAUUGCUAUUAAUUUGUUUGAAAUUUAUUAUGGUGAUGACUGGGAAGGUCUUUUUGAGGCUAUUACUGGUUAUGGCCUUGGUGGCUCUUUGGCCGUGUUGGUGGUGGUAUUUAUACCAAGGCUGCUGAUGUUGGUGCCGACCUUGUGGGGAAGGUAGAAAGAAACAUUCCUGAGGACGAUCCAAGAAACCCAGCUGUCAUUGCUGACAAUGUUGGUGAUAAUGUUGGAGAUAUUGUUGGAAUGGGAUCAUAUCUCUUUGGCUCAUAUGCUGAAUCGUCAUGUGCUGCUCUUGUUGUGGCCUCGAUCUCGUCUUUUGGAAUCAACCAUCAAUUUACUCCAAUGGUGUAUCCCCUUCUUGUCAGCUCUGUUGGUAUUAUAGCAUGUCUCAUAACAACGCUGUUUGCAACUGAUUUCUUCGAGAUAAAGGCUGUGAGUGAAAUAGAGCCUGCUCUCAAGAAACAACUUAUAAUAUCCACUGUUGUGAUGACCAUUGGCAUUGCGCUCAUGUUGGCUUGGUCUUCCAUACACCUUCACCAUUUAUAACUUUGGAGCCCAGAAGACAGUGCAAAGCUGGCAAUUGUUCUUGUGUGUGGCGGUUGGUCUCUGGGCUGGCUUAGUCAUUGGUUUUAUUACUGAGUACUACACAAGCAAUGCCUACAGCCCUGUAUAAGAUGUUGCUGAUUCCUGCAGAACUGGAGCUGCCACUAAUGUCAUUUUUGGGCUUGCUCUGGGUUACAAAUCAGUCAUUAUCCCAAUUUUUGCUAUUGCGUUUAGUAUCUUCCUUAGCUUCAGCCUUGCUGCCAUGUAUGGUGUUGUUGUGGCUGCUCUUGGAAUGCUGAGUACCAUUGCCACAGACCUUGCUAUUGAUGCCUAUGGCCCUAUCAGUGAUAAUGCUGGAAGCUUAAGUCUGUAUGGGUGCAUCUUAUCAUUUAUAUGUAUAUCUGAAAGCUUAAGUAUUUUUUUAAAUAGAAGAUGUCUGGAAACUUUAGUAACGACAUGAGUUUCAGGCUUUCAGCUAUAGCAGUCUUAUUCGCUUUUAAGACAGAGAAGAUUUUUAUUUAGAGUUUAGAAAGAGUAGGUGCUAUGGGUGCAUGUUAUCAUUUAUGUGGGGAACAUCUCUGGUGGAAAUUAAUCAGUAACGACAUGAGUUAAGACAGAGAAGCUUAAGUAUUUUUUCAGCUAUAGCAGUCUUAUUCGCUUUUAAGACAGAGAAGCUUAAGUAUUUUUUGAAUAGAAGAUGUCUGGAAACUUUAGUAACGACAUGAGUUAAUCAGAAGAGAUGGAAGGGUAGUUUAUCAACAUGUAUUUGGCACUUCGCCGAAAAUGUCACUUGGACUAUCUUGCAAACUGAAUUUUCAGAUUGGCUUCUUCUGUCUGAACAUUCAGUUCAGUCUUGCAGGAUUUAUUUGGUGUGCACACUCCAGAGGUCAGCAUUGAUUCGAUCCAAAUCAACUUACAACUUGUUCUACAUUGUUUUUCAUCAACAACUGUGUUCAGCAAAGAGUAAAUACGUACUACAACUUAUUGAUCAUUGAAAACCUCGUGCCUUUUUUGGGUUAACCAAGUUUACCUAGAUUUCCCACACUGGGUUGAGUGGGUUGGGCACUGAUUGACUCAAAAUUGACCAGCUUUAUGGCCACCGUUCAGCAACCUCGCAAUGGAAGACAAAAAAUCCUUCCGACACCGCGGCCGCAAUAGUUGAAUACGUUUCAUCAUCAUCAACCAUUUUUUAUACAUCAUCAUCAUCAUCAACCAUUUUUUUGAUAGGUCAUCAUCAUCAACCAUUUUUAAUCGCACUCUCUCGGGCGGCCUUACCAAACUCCCUGCAUCUUCUUGCCUAGAAGUGCAGUACUUGAAUGACCAAUCGUGCAGCUGCUGCGAUACUACUCUCCUUGCCCACACUGCGUCGCAAUGGUGCACCGAUCUCCUGCUCCAGAAGCUACCACCGCUCUGUGCUUGGCACUGCUACUUCUUCUCUUUCCCUGAACCAGCUCCACCGCCACCACCAUAGGCGGCGCUCCAAACACGGUGGCGCCAUGCGCGCCGGCGUGGUGCGGGGACUUGGCCAUCUCCUACCCGUUCUGGCUCGCAGGCACGCAUCUGCCCAAGUGUGGCUACGACCAAGGGUUCAAGGUUACCUGUGACAAAGCCAAGGUGUACCUCAAGAACUCGACCUGCACGUACCAAAUCCAGGCCAUCUUCUACGCCAUGAAGCUACUCAGAGUCGCCAUCGUCGGCCUGUCGUAGGACGAUGGCACUUGCAACAUCGACAAGUUCGUCAAUGCCUCCUUCGUCCCCAGCCCGCCGUUCGAAAUCGAGCCCCAACAAAACCAGGAGCUGUUCUUCGUCUACGACUGCAACCUGCGAGCGCCGCAGCUGCCUCGGUCUUGGACACCCUUGCGCUGUGGCAAUAAUGGCUCGUUCACCUGGCUUUCUGGGGAGUACAGGCCCGAAGACAGCUCCAUGGCGAUGCCGGGGAACUGCAACGUUGCGAUGAUACCGGUGGUGGCGUACGAGGGGGCGACCGCGGCAGAUUAUCAGUGGUUCGUGGAGGGAGGUUUUUUUCUUAGUUACUACCUCACGGACACUGAGGACGACGACUACUACGACCAGUGCCAAGCUUGCUCGUACCGCGCUGGCCACGGCCAAUGCCGGACAAUUGUCAGUGACAAUGGGUUCCAGUGCUACUGCUCUGACGGCGUCUACUCGACGACGGCCUGCGGAACCAAGAGGGCUAACUGGAAGACAACAAUUGUAGUUGAAUCGAAGCGGGAACUGAAUCAAGAAUGUUCUAUUUAUAUCGGUCUCAGUUGCAUGGAAGCGAUAACUGAAUCAAGAAUUCUCUAUUUAUAUCGAUCUCAGCCAUUUUGAAGGAUGAACGAGCACCAGGAGAGAGUCCGGGAGGAGGCAUAUACUGUUGGGACGUGUCCAAGCCAGUGGAGAUGCAGUGGAGAUGGAGGAGAUCGACAUUGGCAUGGAGAAGCUGCGAAACCCACCGCAGCAGAACCCCACCUAGAGGAAGAAGUAGAAAACUUGUGCCGGUAUGAGCUUCCUAAUGAGAGCUGGGAAGUAAAUUUGCCUCCUGAAAAGGUGUCUCCUGAGCUCCCAGUACCAACAUUAGGCAUAAACUUUGCAAGAGAUGGAAUCCAGAAAAAAGAGUGGUUGUCCAUGGUUGCUGCACACAGUGAUGCAUGGUUACUUUCUGUUGCAUUUUAUCUUGGUGCUCAAUUUGGUUUCAAUAAAAAUUACAGGUUAAUUUUCAUUCCAUCUUUAUGGAAUAUGUACUACAGUCUCUAUCUUUUACUGCCUGCCUUUUUUGUUUAUCCAUGAAGUUUUCCUACUUUAUGCAAAGCUUUCCUACAUGCUUGCUUUGUCCUAAAAAAUAUUAGACCUAUUUUGAUAGGCAACAGGUACAAGUAAUAUAGUAUAAAUUAUAAGUACUGCUUAAGAACUGUGAAUAAAAAUGAACCUGCACAAUAUCUCCACAUGGAAUUAUUUGUCUUAGUGAAGGAAUAACAUAGUCAAAUCACAUAGAGUUUGCACUGCUCAUACUACUCACCACAUCUAAUGUGCUAAUUACUUUUCAGUAAUGAUGUUGCCAAUCUCAACAAGACGCUAUGAGCAAUUUCCUUUAGCACGAAACAAUGUUGAGCAAUUGUAGCCAUUUUCUGGAUUAGCCUUGAUUAUUUUAUUAUGUUUAGCUUUAUCAUUUGCUUUUCUAAAAACUACAUAUUUUGGUGACUAACACGACAAUUAAAUCGAGGAUGAUAAAUGGUGAGCAUGCGACACUUCGUCGACACUGCCGAGCUACACCCAGUUUCCCUCUCGGCUUCUCUGAUUAUCGAAUUUUGUCUGAGUGCGUGCGGACGCAGGAGCCGGAAGAGUUCUCGUUGAGGAGAAGCUUGUUGCGACCCAAAGAGAGAGGACACAUACAUGUGGACGCGAGACGACUAGAGCCAGAGGAGGACUGGGCACGCAGAAGAGCGAGGAGGACAACGAGUCCUCACACCUCACCGCCAGGACGUCGUAGAUAAUUUUGGUUUUCUUGUGAUUCUCUUUAUGAAGUGGGUGGUACCUCAAAAGACAUAGAUGAUCUGUUGACUUAUGGCAGUCGGGCAUUACAUUUUUUUGCAUGAAAUCGACAUCUGAGGAGUGAUAAUUUUGUUUUGAUCGCUUCUCUAUUGCAAGAUUUAGAUGGCUACUAUCCUUUGCGAUUGAUCAAGAAUGGUGAGCUAUUCUAAGGAAGCUUCUGAACAAUAUACCCGCUGUCCUAGAGUGUCAUAGAUCAGGGUUGAGAUGAUUCCAUCAUACUUAUACGAAGAUUUUCCUAGCAAGGAAUGGUUUGAACAAUGUUGUGAUUAGGCAAGGGAUAAUGGGUACUUGCUCUGUGAUGACUCAAAAAGAAUGAGAUUGAUCGUACGUACGGGGAGAGUUCCUCCAUAGACAAAGAUGAAAAAAAGACCUUGUAUUUGAUAGAAUGUGCUGAUCCAUUCCUCAAACCGAAUAGAAAUGUGAGGUCGGUUGUGAUUAAUCUUUUGAUCUUAGGUAAGGUCAAGGUUCUACUGGGCUGCUCGCUGUUGCAGGAUUGUGUAGCUGUUGUAGCUCCAAUUGAGAAAUAUUAUCAGUAUUAAGCUGCUUUGAUGGUUGCCCGGUC
Zea mays is the source of this 8213-nucleotide RNA transcript. It is a transcript of the gene named pyrophosphate-energized vacuolar membrane proton pump 1-like, with no coding region annotated. The transcript has 22 exons. The record is from RefSeq and is a predicted model, not a curated record. NCBI's taxonomy places the organism in Eukaryota, Viridiplantae, Streptophyta, Magnoliopsida, Poales, Poaceae.